UGCAGAAUACUCUCAGCGGGGUCC
Molecule: unclassified non-coding RNA, 24 nt
Filed under: Mus musculus (house mouse)
Lineage: Eukaryota; Metazoa; Chordata; Mammalia; Rodentia; Muridae
Description: oocyte_clustered_small_RNA1325
Source: RNAcentral